UAAUGGAUAUAUGCAUAUAUGAAAUGUUACAAAUAAACACUUAAAUGCAUCAAAAACAAUAUACAUACGAAAUAAUCAUAUAUGUUACCUUAAAAAAACUCAAUCGUUGACGCAAAGUACAUCAUAUGAUGAAGUGAAUUUAUAAUCUUUAAUUCAGAAAAAAAAACAGGAUGUAGAUUGUGCAUGUGCACUUCUUGAAAUACUUACUAUCAGGGCCACUUACAUUUUUAUCACCUAUUUGAUGUCAACAGCUUCCUCUUGUUAAGAUUCAGAAUGCCCAUCAGUUUGAUUCUCUUCCUCCACAAAAUCGCCAAUUCAUCAUUUGGAAUCAACGAAGUAUAUUACUCUUGAUAAUUUUACAAAGAGCGCCUCUCUCAUGUAUCAACUCAUGCACAUAUUCUAUCUUUUUCCACCAUGCUGGAAAUAAAUAAAUAAUGGCAUCAAAGGCUGAUCGGUGCCAGCUAUGCACGAUGUAUGCAAAGGAGAAAUUACUUAAUUUAGUACUAAACCUAUAGGGGAAUAUAAUAUAAUAUAUCUUUGGAUGGAUUGGAUAGUUCAGCGAUGAGCCUAUGCCACGACGUGAACUCGCGUCUGGCUCUAGCACUAGCGCUAGUCGAAUCGGCGAUGUCUGUGUGCGUGUCAUCGCGACAGCGCCUGAAGGCGGGAAAAAGCGGCGGCGUAUACUGAGUAUUGACUGCAUCUCGCGAUCGGGGCACCCGGGAACCGAGAUCGCAUCGGCGAGACGGCGAACUCGCGAUCGAUUAGGAAGGAAAUUAUAAGAGAGAAGGAGCGUAAUGGCGUGCUCAUUAUCUCGGAAAAGACGGCGUAUGAUCUCGGGAUUGCUAGGUGAAGGAAUAGGAAUAAUCGCCAUGUUCGCCUGCAUCCACGCCUGAUUACCUCGCUUAAGCCACGGCCCAUAUAGAGUUUAGGAGCUACGUAAACACAUCUGAGGAGGGGCCCCUGGAUUGUGGGGGCCCGGGGCGGCCGCCCCCCCGCCCCCCUCAGGGCCGGGCCUGCCGGCGGUCGAGCUCGAACUCCAC
This 1040-nucleotide long non-coding RNA is filed under the name Triticum aestivum (bread wheat). Its description in RNAcentral is "long non-coding RNA (TAES_LNC012597)". The record is from RNAcentral. Lineage: Eukaryota; Viridiplantae; Streptophyta; Magnoliopsida; Poales; Poaceae.